GUGCUUGCUUCAGCAGCACAUAUACUGAAAUUGGAAUAAUUCAGAGAUUAGCAUGGCCCCUGUGCAAGGAUGACAUCGAAAUUUUGCAAAAUGUUCCACAUUUUU
Molecule: small nuclear RNA, 105 nt
Organism: Vulpes vulpes (red fox)
Lineage: Eukaryota; Metazoa; Chordata; Mammalia; Carnivora; Canidae
Source: Ensembl